CUGGGACGCUGCCUUCCGGUGAGCUCCCCGCCCAGUGUUCGUGUUUACGCAUGCGCACUUCCUCCGGCCUGUCCUCGCUUCCGGUGCGUCCUAAGUACCCGCAGCUCUGGUCGCCGGGCUCUGGCCUCCGGUAGGGGAGACUGCGGGGCCGGGACACCGGCAGGGGAAGCACCACGCGGGCGCAAGCUGUGCGGACUAGGGUCCGCGCGGCUGGGCGGAGGCUUGAGUGGAAACCGAGCGCGGGCGCUGAGCCCCGAAGCCGUGGUGGAGGCCGAAGGGGCAGGGCGUGCGGCGGCGGCGGCACCUGGCGCGGCUCGCUGCGGCCUCGGCGAUCUGUCUCUGCUUUCAGACUUCAACAUUUUUCCAAGAGCAGUAGAAAAUGAAAAAAUCCCUGGUGAGUUUUUCUGUUCAUGUGUUUAUUCUUUGAUUUGACUUACAGUAUACUUUAGGAAUUGAAUAAAGGUUCCAACUUUACAGUGAAACACCAAAAGAUAAUAGAUCAGGCAAAACAAGUUGUAAUUAGUACUUGGCAUUUUUAUCUUGCCCAUUCAUGAAGAUAACACAGUUCUUAAAGAUUCUUGAAAACUAGAGUACAAAUGUGUCUCAUAUCCUUGACAUUCAUGGCAAAAAAGGACAAAACCAUCCAUUGCUCACCUUACACUGAGUGUAAGCAGAAUCAUGUUUGUUUUCUCAUGAAUUUUAAAGAUAUCUUGGAUGUAAUUGUGACUAGCCUUCCC
Molecule: long non-coding RNA, 737 nt
Filed under: Cavia porcellus (domestic guinea pig)
Lineage: Eukaryota; Metazoa; Chordata; Mammalia; Rodentia; Caviidae
Description: lncRNA (ENSCPOG00000033296.1)
Source: RNAcentral